GAAAUAAAAACAUCAGUAGGAGGGGAAGGAGGAAGGAAGGAGAAGAAAGAGGAAGAAUAGGAGGAGAAGAGGAAGAGAGGAAGAAGUCGUGAACAGCCCUCCUGCAUUUUGCAUCAGACGGAGUCUUGCUCUAUUGCCAGGUUGGAGUGCAGUGGCGCGAUCUCAGCUCACUGCAACCUCCGCCUCCUGGAUUCAAGCAAUUCUCCUGCUUCAGCCUCCCGAGUAGCUGAGACUACAGCUCACACAUCCUCCCCAUUCUCUGAGUUCCCACAAAGACUGUUAUUGCUGGGGCUCAUAAAAUUAUACUCCAAAGUAUGAUGCUUUGGCAUCCAGAGUGCUUUGAACUAUAGGAGAUUGAAGGCCCCAGAAGCCAAGUUUCCCUCUGACCUCCUGCCUCCCUGUCUCCCACCCCCUACUUUUCCCCUGAAGUGAGUCCUGGAAACCAGAAUUCUUCUUGCCCAAAGCAAGCCGUGACACCCUGGAAAUAUCACUCUAACCUUCCUUGCCUUUCCGUGUGGCAGCUGGCCAUGAAGAAAUUCUCUGACCUACCUUGUUUGAUAGCAGAUCACAAGACCCUGGUUCCAGAGCGGUCCUGCUUUACACCGAAGGAAAGGAAUGUCAUACAGAAAGGCCAAGAAGAAUCUGAAGAGAUGUCCAAUCACCUUUUCACGUGGCUGCCCAUUCUUCAUUGAACCUAAGCAUUAAAAUAGACAGUUUCCCCUGGGUCUUUGGGUCUUCAUUUCUGAAGACUCCAUGUCAUGUAAAACUUUGAUUAAAUAAAUGUAUCAUGCAUUACUUUUGCUAACCUGUCUUUUGUUAUAGGAGUGUCGCCUGUGACC
RNAcentral lists this long non-coding RNA (839 nucleotides) under Homo sapiens (human). RNAcentral describes it as "HSALNT0352091". The record is from RNAcentral. Lineage: Eukaryota; Metazoa; Chordata; Mammalia; Primates; Hominidae.